Bactrocera oleae (olive fruit fly) is the source of this 1767-nucleotide long non-coding RNA. RefSeq lists it as uncharacterized. Lineage: Eukaryota; Metazoa; Arthropoda; Insecta; Diptera; Tephritidae. The record is from RefSeq and is a predicted model, not a curated record.
CUGCGAAAGAAAAUAUUGUCAAACUGCCUCUUACCUCAUGAAAUAGUGAAGAUUCCAUGGUAUAAACUAGACUGUGACUAGUUUGAAUAGAAUACAAAUCUUUUUUAGUGGUAAUUGACUAUUAUUCGAAGUACAUUAAAGUCGAGCUCUUAGAGAAUGGUACGACAAGUAAAUCUAUAAUCGCAAAACUUAAAUUUAAUUUUGCCAGCCACGGAAUUCCCUUUAUUUUAAUCACUGAUAAUGGACCACCUCUUAAUUCCCAUGAAUUUAAAAAUUUCUACCAAGAAAUGGAACUAGAUUAAAUGGGCUUGUUUAAACAUCAAUACAAGUAGUAAAAAAAAAAGGUUAACAAGUGCCAGGACGCUAACAUGGAUCCAUAUACAUCCCUUUUACGCUAUUGGACAACACCUAAAAAUAACAUGCCAAGUCCAAGCGAAUAUCUAAUGUCCUGUAAGUUGCGUACCAAGAUCCCAACAAUUUUAAGUCAUUUCGAGCCCAGAGUGAUUCACAAAUCAUACUUUGAUAAAAUUGUCAAGCAACAAAAGCAAAAGUCAGCCGAAAUAUGCAACAACCAAUAAAAAAUUUAAAGCCUGUUGAAAUUGGUGAGCAAUUAUUGUAUAAAAAACCAUCUACAUCAACAUUGUCUUCAGCUAUUAUUUACAUAACAAGACAGGGAUGGGACUUUAUACAGAAGAAAUAGGGAACACAUUUCUAAAAAAAAUUUUAUGUAUACGUAUACAACAGAGAAUAAUACCGAAAACAUUGAACGUCCAAACGAAGAAAGAAAUCAGGUAGAAGAAAAGAAUAACAAGCCCACAUCAUCCGAAUUAGAAAACAAACAAAUUAUUAGUCAUGAAAUAGAAAAGUAUGAAGAUAGAAAUACAUAAAAUGAUGAACUUAUAGAAAGAAAGAGUUACAUUACCAAAUAUGAGAGAGCAAAACUUUCAAUAGGUUUAGUGAUUGUAAAAAAUAAUUUCUUGAAUGAGCCUAAGGGAGGUAGAAUGAAAAAUUGUGUUGUUUCUACUUGACGUCUGGGGUCGAAAAAAGCCAAAAUCGCGGUGUGUUAAAAUGAAGGGUUCAAUCAAAAAGACUGCGUCCUGUAAGAAAUGCUGAUUUGAGACAAUAUAUUUAGUGGUCAUCUCUACACCACUUAUGACAUCGUUCAGGACAAGCGAAGAAGACGGCUAUUCAAUACCCGAAGCGUUGAUUUCGUUUUAAGAAUAUUAACGCUUCGUCCUGAGUGAUGAAGUGAAAGACUUUGAUGGAAUUAAAAGUGUUUUAUAUUGGGAGUAGGCGUGGAUAUGGUCUAUUUUCUAACUACAACAUUUAUUUUUAAAGAAGCAGCUUAGCCGUCAACCCAAGUAAAACUGAAGUGAACAGGAGAUAUAAGUUCCCAGACGUCCCUCUCCUCUAUCAACUGUAUUCCGGAGAACUUCAAUCACUGCGUCGCAGAGGCCACUCUUGGCGGAUUUUUCUCUGCUCAUAUACCGACGAGGGAUAUGUGGAUGGGAAGAAGUCGCUGGAGAAGAGGCGCAGUGAGCUUGUUCACGGAUGGGUCGAGCCUAGAACGGAAGAUUGGAGGGGAACUUUCUGUAAGAAGCUAUCCAUCGAUCUUAGCUUUAGGCUACGGAACCACGGUAGUGUUUAAAAAAAAACGCUUUUCGAUCUGUAAGGUUCUUAUGAUUUAUUUAAAGGAACUAAACAAGAUUAUCACGUAUGUUUCAAAAACCAAAUGAAAUUGAUGUAAUUACGUUUUUACAAACCGAA